UAAGGAAUAUUGGUCAAUGGAGGCAACUCUGAACCAGCCAUGCCGCGUGCAGGAAGAAGGCCCUAUGGGUCGUAAACUGCUUUUGAACAAGAGAAAACCCCGGUACGUGUACUGGGUUGAUAGUAUUGUUAGAAUAAGCAUCGGCUAACUUCGUGCCAGCAGCCGCGGUAAGACGAAGGAUGCAAGCGUUAUCCGGAUUCAUUGGGUUUAAAGGGUGCGUAGGCGGACUGAUAAGUCAGUGGUGAAAUCUCUCGGCUUAACCGAGAAACUGCCAUUGAUACUGUUAGUCUAGAGUACAGAUGAUGUGGGCGGAAUAUGACAUGUAGUGGUGAAAUACUUAGAUAUGUCAUAGAACACCGAUUGCGAAGGCAGCUCACAAAACUGUAACUGACGCUGAGGCACGAAAGUGCGGGGAUCAAACAGGAUUAGAUACCCAAGUAGUACCCUGAGCGGGCUGGCAAGGCGCAU
This 468-nucleotide ribosomal RNA is filed under the name uncultured bacterium. RNAcentral's name for it is "bacterial SSU rRNA". It matches the Rfam family "Bacterial small subunit ribosomal RNA", at positions 355 to 825 of the family's 1533-position model. The record is from RNAcentral.